AAAACUUGUAAAAAAAAUUUGAUUUGAAAUCUAAUUAAUUGUUUUUAUUAACAAUACAAGUUUUA
This 65-nucleotide transfer RNA is filed under the name Cloacotaenia megalops. Its description in RNAcentral is "tRNA-Ser". Lineage: Eukaryota; Metazoa; Platyhelminthes; Cestoda; Cyclophyllidea; Hymenolepididae. The record is from RNAcentral.